UUCCGUUCGGCUCUCUUUUUCCCAUUUUCCAAUUUUUGCCCUCCUUCAUCUUCUCCUUCAUCUGCUGUCAAACUCUCUACACAAUUUCUGCCCUCAAACUCUCUUGCCAUAUUUCAGAUAUUCUCUUUCAUCUUCUCCCACAGUUCUGUAACUUUCUCUCUUUCUGUUCCCAUAUUUCAGGUAAUGGCGUUUUUUCCUUAUUUGAUUUUUCCUUCUUUUUAACGUUUUUCCUCAGUACUUUUUGAUCAUGUUCUUCUUCUUUUUUUAAUUGAUUGUUUGCUUAAUGAGCAUUUCUAUUCCCUCUCCUCUCCG
RNAcentral lists this long non-coding RNA (312 nucleotides) under Gossypium raimondii (Peruvian cotton). Its description in RNAcentral is "long non-coding RNA (GRAI_LNC009732)". Lineage: Eukaryota; Viridiplantae; Streptophyta; Magnoliopsida; Malvales; Malvaceae. The record is from RNAcentral.